Long non-coding RNA from Sebastes umbrosus (honeycomb rockfish), 537 nucleotides. RefSeq lists it as uncharacterized. Lineage: Eukaryota; Metazoa; Chordata; Actinopteri; Perciformes; Sebastidae. The transcript has 3 exons. The record is from RefSeq and is a predicted model, not a curated record.
UGUUAGCCUCUAUUAAAAAGUAUCAUGCAUCCAAGAGGAAGCUACGAAAAUGGCAGACACAGCUCCAAAAAAUGCAAAAUAUAGCGAGGCGAAACGCCAAGCGGACAAAGCUCGUUCCAAAACGAGAGUGAAUUUGGGGUUGGCUUCACUGAGCCGGGGAGGAGGGGCCAACUUUGAAUGUUGUGUUUACAAACUGCAACCCACAAAUCCUACUCAUUGUGCCUUUAAUUCAUUAUAUAUUAACCAAAGUGUAAAAAACAAGUUGUGCUUUUACAGGGGUUAUUUGCUUUUUUUCACUAGGACGCUCGUUGCCAGGCAACCAGCGGACACUCCAGGACUAACUGCGCUCGACCAAGAAAUAAUUAAAGCACAUAAUUGCCCAUAAAACAACAAAUUAUUUUUAGUGGUAAGUUAGUGAGCCUUAAAGCCCAAAGCACACCAACCCAACAUCGGAGAACUAGCGGCGAUGAAGGCAGCCUGUUGCGUCGCCUCACGUCGCCUUUGUCUUCGCCGAUAAGUUGCACUCGAACACAACGC